RNAcentral lists this transfer RNA (68 nucleotides) under Entiminae sp. ACP-2013. RNAcentral describes it as "tRNA-Ile". The record is from RNAcentral. Lineage: Eukaryota; Metazoa; Arthropoda; Insecta; Coleoptera; Curculionidae.
AUGAGAUGCCUGAAAAAAAGGGUUAUUUUGAUAGAAUAAAUUAUGUAGAAAUAUUCUAUUCUCAUUAA